This 468-nucleotide ribosomal RNA is filed under the name uncultured bacterium. RNAcentral describes it as "partial 16S ribosomal RNA". It matches the Rfam family "Bacterial small subunit ribosomal RNA", at positions 28 to 507 of the family's 1533-position model. The record is from RNAcentral.
GACGAACGCUGGCGGCGUGCUUAACACAUGCAAGUCGAACGGAAAGGCCCUGCUUUUGUGGGGUGCUCGAGUGGCGAACGGGUGAGUAACACGUGAGUAACCUGCCCUUGACUUUGGGAUAACUUCAGGAAACUGGGGCUACUACCGGAUAGGAGCUCCUGCUGCAUGGUGGGGGUUGGAAAGUUUCGGCGGUUGGGGAUGGACUCGCGGCUUAUCAGCUUGUUGGUGGGGUAGUGGCUUACCAAGGCUUUGACGGGUAGCCGGCCUGAGAGGGUGACCGGCCACAUUGGGACUGAGGUACGGCCCAGACUCCUACGGGAGGCAGCAGUGGGGAAUAUUGCACAAUGGGCGGAAGCCUGAUGCAGCAACGCCGCGUGCGGGAUGACGGCCUUCGGGUUGUAAACCGCUUUCGCCUGUGACGAAGCGUGAGUGACGGUAAUGGGUAAAGAAGCACCGGCUAACUACGUG